This 82-nucleotide ribosomal RNA is filed under the name Paenibacillus arenosi. The record is from RNAcentral. Lineage: Bacteria; Bacillati; Bacillota; Bacilli; Caryophanales; Paenibacillaceae.
CAUCCCGAACACGAACGUUAAGUCCUCCAGCGCCGAUGGUACUUGGACCGCAGGGUCCUGGGAGAGUAGGACGUUGCCAAGC